Small nuclear RNA from Otolemur garnettii (small-eared galago), 107 nucleotides. Lineage: Eukaryota; Metazoa; Chordata; Mammalia; Primates; Galagidae. The record is from Ensembl.
GUACUCACUUCUGCAGCACAUAUGCUAAAAUUGGAACGAUACAAAGAAGAUUAGCAUGGCCCCUAUGCAAGGAGGACAUGCAAAUUUGUGAAGCAGUCCUUAUUUUU